This is a non-coding RNA of Acanthosepion pharaonis, 111 nucleotides long. The record is from the annotation of a GenBank genome assembly. NCBI's taxonomy places the organism in Eukaryota, Metazoa, Mollusca, Cephalopoda, Sepiida, Sepiidae.
UGACUAUAUCACAAUGAAACACCAGUUCUCAUAUGAUCACUGAAGUUAAGCAACAUUGAGCCUGGUCAGUACCUAGAUGGGUGAACAAUUGGGAAUGCCACAGGUGCUGUA